GGGGAAUAUUGCACAAUGGGGGAAACCCUGAUGCAGCAACGCCGCGUGGAGGAUGAAGGCCUUCGGGUCGUAAACUCCUGUCUGGGGGGAUGAAAACUGACAGUACCCCCGGAGGAAGCCCCGGCUAACUACGUGCCAGCAGCCGCGGUAAUACGUAGGGGGCGAGCGUUGUCCGGAAUUACUGGGCGUAAAGCGCGCGCAGGCGGCUUGUUAAGUCAGGUGUCAAAAUGCGGGGCUCAACCCCGUAUCGCACUUGAAACUGGCAGGCUUGAGUGCAGGAGAGGGAAGUGGAAUUCCUAGUGUAGCGGUGAAAUGCGUAGAUAUUAGGAGGAACACCAGUGGCGAAGGCGACUUCCUGGACUGUAACUGACGCUGAGGCGCGAAUGCUAGGGGAGCAAAC
This 400-nucleotide ribosomal RNA is filed under the name uncultured bacterium. RNAcentral's name for it is "bacterial SSU rRNA". It matches the Rfam family "Bacterial small subunit ribosomal RNA", at positions 356 to 773 of the family's 1533-position model. The record is from RNAcentral.